GACGAACCGUGCGAACGUUAUUCGGAAUCACUGGGCUUAAAGCGCGUGUAGGCGGCCCGGCACGUCCGUCGCUGAAAUCCCCCGGCUCAACCGGGGAAGGGGCGCGGAUACGACCGGGCUGGAGGGGGGUAGGGGGAUCGGGAACUUCCAGUGGAGCGGUGAAAUGCGUUGAGAUCGGAAGGAACGCCCGCGGCGAAAGCGCGGUCCUGGACCCCACCUGACGCUGAGACGCGAAAGCCAGGGGAGCGAACGGG
Molecule: ribosomal RNA, 254 nt
Filed under: uncultured bacterium
Lineage: Bacteria
Description: partial 16S ribosomal RNA
Rfam family: Bacterial small subunit ribosomal RNA
Source: RNAcentral